RNAcentral lists this ribosomal RNA (301 nucleotides) under uncultured bacterium. RNAcentral describes it as "partial 16S ribosomal RNA". It matches the Rfam family "Bacterial small subunit ribosomal RNA", at positions 509 to 807 of the family's 1533-position model. The record is from RNAcentral.
CAGCCGCCACGGUAAUACGUAGGGUGCGAGCGUUAAUCGGAAUUACUGGGCGUAAAGCGUGCGCAGGCGGUUUUGUAAGACAGGCGUGAAAUCCCCGGGCUCAACCUGGGAAUGGCGCUUGUGACUGCAAAGCUAGAGUGCGGCAGAGGGGGAUGGAAUUCCGCGUGUAGCAGUGAAAUGCGUAGAUAUGCGGAGGAACACCGAUGGCGAAGGCAAUCCCCUGGGCCUGCACUGACGCUCAUGCACGAAAGCGUGGGGAGCAAAUAGGAUUAGAUACCCGGGUAGUCCCUGUCUCUUAUAC